GAACGCUGGCGGCAGGCCUAACACAUGCAAGUCGAGCGGAUGAGUGGAGCUUGCUCCAUGAUUCAGCGGCGGACGGGUGAGUAAUGCCUAGGAAUCUGCCUGGUAGUGGGGGACAACGUUUCGAAAGGAACGCUAAUACCGCAUACGUCCUACGGGAGAAAGCAGGGGGACCUUCGGGCCUUGCGCUAUCAGAUGAGCCUAGGUCGGAUUAGCUAGUAGGUGAGGUAAUGGCUCACCUAGGCGACGAUCCGUAACUGGUCUGAGAGGAUGAUCAGUCACACUGGAACUGAGACACGGUCCAGACUCCUACGGGAGGCAGCAGUGGGGAAUAUUGGACAAUGGGCGAAAGCCUGAUCCAGCCAUGCCGCGUGUGUGAAGAAGGUCUUCGGAUUGUAAAGCACUUUAAGUUGGGAGGAAGGGUAGUAACCUAAUACGUUGCUACUUUGACGUUACCGACAGAAUAAGCACCGGCUAACUUCGUG
This 482-nucleotide ribosomal RNA is filed under the name uncultured bacterium. Its description in RNAcentral is "bacterial SSU rRNA". It matches the Rfam family "Bacterial small subunit ribosomal RNA", at positions 31 to 507 of the family's 1533-position model. The record is from RNAcentral.